Molecule: non-coding RNA, 75 nt
Organism: Podarcis lilfordi (Lilford's wall lizard)
Lineage: Eukaryota; Metazoa; Chordata; Lepidosauria; Squamata; Lacertidae
Source: the annotation of a GenBank genome assembly
GCACCUUCUUCAGUUGGUUAGAGUGUGUUGUUGACAAUGCCAAGGUUGCAGGUUCAAUCCCUGUAUGGGGCAGCA